This 1491-nucleotide long non-coding RNA is filed under the name Equus asinus (donkey). RNAcentral describes it as "lncRNA (ENSEASG00005032827.1)". Lineage: Eukaryota; Metazoa; Chordata; Mammalia; Perissodactyla; Equidae. The record is from RNAcentral.
CUGCUUAUGUAUUAUUUGUCUCCCCACCAGAAGGUCAGUCCACAAGGGCAGGAUUUUGGAGAGUUUUGUUCACUGCUGAAUUCCCAGCUCCUAACACAGUGCCUGGCACACUGCGUGCUCUGUAAAUAUUUGAGGAAUGAAUGAAUGAAGAACAGUGGAAGGAUUUUAAGCAGAGGACUCUCAUGACCAUAUUUAUGUCUUGGAUCCCUCUCAAGAAGGCUGAGACUGAAGCAGGGAGAAGGGCAAGAGGUAUUAAAGGUUCUGCCACAAAGGACUAGAGAUAGUCAUAAAAAGAACAGAGAUCAAAAGAGUGUUUACAGACUGGCUGACUGAGAUUAGAGCAAGUAAUAAAGAGUGAAUUCAAACUGACUUAGCGAAUAUUUGCUUUUGGUGGGGCUGCUGACGACUUGAGAAAUCGUUCUUUCUAUACUCCAUAAAAUAAAUUUUUUAACGAGAGGGUGAGGGACACAGAAAAGCAGAAAGGAAGCGUCAAGGUAAUUCACUACCUGGAGAAUUUGGUCCAGAACAAGUGAACCAUGCUGAUAAGAUUUUAAGAAAACACGGACAAAAUCACUUCCUUGUUCAGAUGUGUCACAAAGGGAACAACAACCACAAAAUCAUCCAAGCAAGGAACUCGGCCGACUCCUGAUUUCAACCUGGGAGAACAAUUUCCUGCCAGUGUGAUAUUGUUUUACAGGCAAGUUAAGACCCUCGGCGAGCAGGAUUCCUGCAUAAAGGCUGACGGUCAUGCUGGCUUGCAGAGCUUGCUUAUGUUUUUAAUAAAACUGUCAGAUUCAACAAUGCCUGGCUGCAGCAAAACAUCUGCUUUGGAUAUGUAAUCAGAAGAAGAAGCACGCCCCUCCCAUAGGGAGAGCAUGUGCCGCUGAAUCAAGGAGCUUGUUAUACCUGCGAGGGGUCAAAGUCUGCGGAUCUGUGGCUUAUGGUAUUAUGACUGAUUACAAAAUCACUCCAUUGUGUUAGUGGAUCUGUUUCCAAGCACCUAGCAGGAAGCUAGCUGGGCACUACACGCUCUGAAACAAGAUCCCCACUGGUUUUCUUCCUAAGGUCUCACGACAGGUCAGCUGUUGUUGACAUCACACGACAGCUCACGUGUCUUUCUGUCUGACUUGUGCCUCUGUUACUCUGAGCUCUGAGAGUCCUUUGAGAGUGAGCUUGUGCCUCAGGCCACAACUAGCUCCCAAGAAGUGUUGAGGUAGAUUUGAAAGCCAUGGGUAGCCCCAUCAUUUGUGCGAUUGAAAGGGAAAAGGAAGCCGAACUCUUACUCACCAGGUGUCUUUUCUGUGCCUCCCUUUCUCCUAGCCUUCCCCAUCUCCUCCUUUUCUCUUCCACUAUUUCCCUGGUUCCUCAUCCCCUCCUCCUCCCAUGGGCAUCUGCCUGCUUAUAAAACCUGUUUAGAGAGGAGAGCAGCUAGUUAGAGACCUGUCUCCUCCAAAAGCCUUUGUUUUGAAGUCACUUGUCACACAGACCUAU